RNAcentral lists this ribosomal RNA (497 nucleotides) under uncultured bacterium. Its description in RNAcentral is "partial 16S ribosomal RNA". It matches the Rfam family "Bacterial small subunit ribosomal RNA", at positions 28 to 507 of the family's 1533-position model. The record is from RNAcentral.
GAUGAACGCUGGCGGCGUGCCUAAUACAUGCAAGUCGAGCGAACGGACGAGAAGCUUGCUUCUCUGAUGUUAGCGGCGGACGGGUGAGUAACACGUGGAUAACCUACCUAUAAGACUGGGAUAACUUCGGGAAACCGGAGCUAAUACCGGAUAAUAUUUUGAACCGCAUGGUUCAAAAGUGAAAGACGGUCUUGCUGUCACUUAUAGAUGGAUCCGCGCUGCAUUAGCUAGUUGGUAAGGUAACGGCUUACCAAGGCAACGAUGCAUAGCCGACCUGAGAGGGUGAUCGGCCACACUGGAACUGGGACACGGUCCAGACUCCUACGGGAGGCAGCAGUAGGGAAUCGUCCGCAAUGGGCGAAAGCCUGACGGAGCAACGGCGCGUGAGUGAUGAAGGUCUUCGGAUCGUAAAACUCUGUUAUUAGGGAAGAACAUAUGUGUAAGUAACUGUGCACAUCUUGACGGUACCUAAUCAGAAAGCCACGGCUAACUACGUG